RNAcentral lists this ribosomal RNA (546 nucleotides) under uncultured bacterium. RNAcentral's name for it is "bacterial SSU rRNA". It matches the Rfam family "Bacterial small subunit ribosomal RNA", at positions 541 to 1085 of the family's 1533-position model. The record is from RNAcentral.
UUAUCCGGAUUUAUUGGGCGUAAAGGGCUCGUAGGCGGCUCGUCGCGUCCGGUGUGAAAGUCCAUCGCUUAACGGUGGAUCUGCGCCGGGUACGGGCGGGCUGGAGUGCGGUAGGGGAGACUGGAAUUCCCGGUGUAACGGUGGAAUGUGUAGAUAUCGGGAAGAACACCGAUGGCGAAGGCAGGUCUCUGGGCCGUCACUGACGCUGAGGAACGAAAGCGUGGGGAACGAACAGGAUUAGAUACCCUGGUAGUCCACGCCGUAAACGGUGGACGCUGGAUGUGGGGCACGUUCCACGUGUUCCGUGUCGGAACUAACGCGUUAAGCGUCCCGCCUGGGGAAUACGGCCGCAAGGCUAAAACUCAAAGAAAUUGACGGGGGCCCGCACAAGCGGCGGAACAUGCGGAUUAAUUCGAUGCCACGCCAAGAACCUUACCUGGGCUUGACAUGUUCCCGACGACGCCAGAAAUGGCGUUUCCCUUCGGGGCGGGUUCACAGGUGGUGCAUGGUCGUCGUCAGCUCGUGUUGUGAAAUGUUGGGUUAAGU